Molecule: ribosomal RNA, 442 nt
Filed under: uncultured bacterium
Lineage: Bacteria
Description: partial 16S ribosomal RNA
Rfam family: Bacterial small subunit ribosomal RNA
Source: RNAcentral
CUACGGGUUGCACCAGUAGGGAAUCUUCCGCAAUGGGCGAAAGCCUGACGGAGCGACACCGCGUGGUGGAUGACGGCCUAUGGGUUGUAAACACCUUUUCUGAGGGAAGAAAAUCUGACGGUACCUCAGGAAUAAGGACCGGCUAAUUACGUGCCAGGCAGCCGCGGUAAUACGUAAGGUCCGAGCGUUACCCGGAAUUAUUGGGCGUAAAGCGUCCGCAGGUGGUGUUAAAAGUCAGUUAUUAAAUACCGGAGCUCAACUUCGGUGCUGUAAUUGAAACUUUAACGCUAGAGGAUAGGAGAGGUGGGUGGAAUUCUGCAAGUAGGGGUAAAAUCCGUAGAUAUGCAGAGGAAUACCAAAAGCGAAGGCAGCACACUGGCCUAUUCCUGACACUCAGGGACGAAAGCGUGGGGAGCAAAAGGGAUUAGAUACCCUCGUAGUC